UGAUAAGAACAGAUCUUGGCUGUGAGGCAGCACCUGUCACCCACUGAUUGGAGUUGAUCUGGCUGGCUGGGAGGUGUCCCCUUUCUCCCUCACCACUCCCAAAGCUGCACACUGGGUCAAAGAAAAUAGACAGAGAACUCCUCUUUGGCCCAAGGUGUGUGAGUGGCUGCACUCUUCUGCGGGAAUCUCAAAGCAGCUCCAGGAUGGUGGAGGCCCAGCGUCAAGACUCCAGGCGCAUCCACGCUGCGAGCAGGUGGCAGUCUGCUUUCCU
Molecule: small nuclear RNA, 271 nt
Filed under: Microtus ochrogaster (prairie vole)
Lineage: Eukaryota; Metazoa; Chordata; Mammalia; Rodentia; Cricetidae
Description: 7SK RNA (ENSMOCG00000008756.1)
Rfam family: 7SK RNA
About the family: 7SK was discovered as an abundant small nuclear RNA in the mid-70s but a possible function has only recently been suggested.
Source: Rfam by way of RNAcentral